RNAcentral lists this ribosomal RNA (227 nucleotides) under uncultured bacterium. Its description in RNAcentral is "partial 16S ribosomal RNA". It matches the Rfam family "Bacterial small subunit ribosomal RNA", at positions 109 to 334 of the family's 1533-position model. The record is from RNAcentral.
AGUAACGCGUGAGGAACCUGCCUCAAAGAGGGGGACAACAGUUGGAAACGACUGCUAAUACCGCAUAAGCCCACGGCUCGGCAUCGAGCAGAGGGAAAAGGAGCAAUCCGCUUUGAGAUGGCCUCGCGUCCGAUUAGCUAGUUGGUGAGGUAACGGCCCACCAAGGCGACGAUCGGUAGCCGGUCUGAGAGGACGACCAGCCACACUGGGACUGAGACACGGCCCAG